UACGAGGGGGGCAAGCGUUGUUCGGAUUUAUUGGGCGUAAAGGGUGCGUAGGCGGUUUGGCAAGUCUUAUGUGAAAUCUUCGGGCUCAACCCGAAGCCUGCAUAAGAAACUGCCGGGCUUGAGUAUGGGAGAGGUGAGUGGAAUUUCCGGUGUAGCGGUGAAAUGCGUAGAUAUCGGAAGGAACACCUGUGGCGAAAGCGGCUCACUGGACCAUAACUGACGCUGAGGUA
RNAcentral lists this ribosomal RNA (230 nucleotides) under uncultured bacterium. Its description in RNAcentral is "partial 16S ribosomal RNA". It matches the Rfam family "Bacterial small subunit ribosomal RNA", at positions 524 to 753 of the family's 1533-position model. The record is from RNAcentral.